Microcebus murinus (gray mouse lemur) is the source of this 558-nucleotide non-coding RNA. The record is from RefSeq and is a predicted model, not a curated record. NCBI's taxonomy places the organism in Eukaryota, Metazoa, Chordata, Mammalia, Primates, Cheirogaleidae.
AGGCCCCUCUCCGGGCUGUCUGACACGAAACAAACGUCAGCUUGUGUUGGCUGAUUGCCUCACUUUCUCAAGAAAGGAAAAAUAUCCUCACAGACUUUUCUUGUUCUCCAGGACAAUCCUCCCCGCUAGAGGGGAAGAUUUUCCAGCGGGCGGCGCCAGUCUCUUUCCUUCAGGCAGCGCCGCGGGCAGCCCGCAGGCCCUUGUAAGGCGCGCGCUGCGGCCCCGCCUCCUUCCUUUCGGCCGGAGCCGCCAUCUUCCAGUAAUUCGCCAAAAUGACGAACACAAAGGGAAAGAGGAGAGGCACCCGAUACAUGUUCUCUAGGCCUUUUAGAAAACAUGGAGUUGUUCCUUUGGCCACAUACAUGCGAAUCUACAAGAAAGGUGAUAUUGUAGACAUCAAGGUAAAUUAUAACAUUGGGAAAAUAACACUACAGAAUUUAGAGAAGUUGGAUUUAAUCUAGUAUAGAAGUUCAGUGUAUCCUGGCACUCAAGAGCUUAAUGAUGAUUAUCUUUUUGAUUGCUCGAAGCAAAGUGAAAAACACAUUUCACCGGCUCUGA